RNAcentral lists this ribosomal RNA (1045 nucleotides) under Salmonella enterica. RNAcentral's name for it is "partial 23S ribosomal RNA". It matches the Rfam family "Bacterial large subunit ribosomal RNA", at positions 711 to 1756 of the family's 2925-position model. Lineage: Bacteria; Pseudomonadati; Pseudomonadota; Gammaproteobacteria; Enterobacterales; Enterobacteriaceae. The record is from RNAcentral.
AGACCCGAAACCCGGUGAUCUAGCCAUGGGCAGGUUGAAGGUUGGGUAACACUAACUGGAGGACCGAACCGACUAAUGUUGAAAAAUUAGCGGAUGACCUGUGGCUGGGGGUGAAAGGCCAAUCAAACCGGGAGAUAGCUGGUUCUCCCCGAAAGCUAUUUAGGUAGCGCCUCGUGAAUUCAUCUCCGGGGGUAGAGCACUGUUUCGGCUAGGGGGCCAUCCCGGCUUACCAACCCGAUGCAAACUGCGAAUACCGGAGAAUGUUAUCACGGGAGACACACGGCGGGUGCUAACGUCCGUCGUGAAGAGGGAAACAACCCAGACCGCCAGCUAAGGUCCCAAAGUCAUGGUUAAGUGGGAAACGAUGUGGGAAGGCCCAGACAGCCAGGAUGUUGGCUUAGAAGCAGCCAUCAUUUAAAGAAAGCGUAAUAGCUCACUGGUCGAGUCGGCCUGCGCGGAAGAUGUAACGGGGCUAAACCAUGCACCGAAGCUGCGGCAGCGACACUAUGUGUUGUUGGGUAGGGGAGCGUUCUGUAAGCCUGUGAAGGUGGCCUGUGAGGGUUGCUGGAGGUAUCAGAAGUGCGAAUGCUGACAUAAGUAACGAUAAAGCGGGUGAAAAGCCCGCUCGCCGGAAGACCAAGGGUUCCUGUCCAACGUUAAUCGGGGCAGGGUGAGUCGACCCCUAAGGCGAGGCCGAAAGGCGUAGUCGAUGGGAAACGGGUUAAUAUUCCCGUACUUGGUGUUACUGCGAAGGGGGGACGGAGAAGGCUAUGUUGGCCGGGCGACGGUUGUCCCGGUUUAAGCGUGUAGGCUGGUUUUCCAGGCAAAUCCGGAAAAUCAAGGCUGAGGCGUGAUGACGAGGCACUACGGUGCUGAAGCAACAAAUGCCCUGCUUCCAGGAAAAGCCUCUAAGCAUCAGGUAACACGAAAUCGUACCCCAAACCGACACAGGUGGUCAGGUAGAGAAUACCAAGGCGCUUGAGAGAACUCGGGUGAAGGAACUAGGCAAAAUGGUGCCGUAACUUCGGGAGAAGGCACGCUGACA